AUUGAACGCUGGCGGCAGGCUUAACACAUGCAAGUCGAGCGGGGUGAUGGUGCUUGCACUAUCACUUAGCGGCGGACGGGUGAGUAAUGCUUAGGGAUCUGCCUAUUAGUGGGGGACAACAUCUCGAAAGGGAUGCUAAUACCGCAUACGUCCUACGGGAGAAAGCAGGGGAUCACUUGUGACCUUGCGCUAAUAGAUGAGCCUAAGUCGGAUUAGCUAGUUGGUGGGGUAAAGGCCUACCAAGGCGACGAUCUGUAGCGGGUCUGAGAGGAUGAUCCGCCAGACUGGGACUGAGACACGGACCAGACUCCUACGGGAGGCAGCAGUGGGGAAUAUUGGACAAUGGGGGGAACCCUGAUCCAGCCAUGCCGCGUGUGUGAAGAAGGCCUUAUGGUUGUAAAGCACUUUCAGCGAGGAGGAAAGGUUGGUAGCUAAUAACUGCCAGCUGUGACGUUACUCGCAGAAGAAGCACCGGCUAACUCCGUGCCAGCAGCCGCAGUAA
RNAcentral lists this ribosomal RNA (502 nucleotides) under uncultured bacterium. RNAcentral describes it as "partial 16S ribosomal RNA". It matches the Rfam family "Bacterial small subunit ribosomal RNA", at positions 30 to 523 of the family's 1533-position model. The record is from RNAcentral.